GCCCGGAUGGUCUAGUGGUAUGAUUCUCGCUUUGGGUUAUGAUAACACCAAUCUGCGAGAGGCCCCGUGUUCGAACCACGGUUCGGGCC
RNAcentral lists this transfer RNA (89 nucleotides) under Aspergillus pseudocaelatus. RNAcentral's name for it is "tRNA-Pro". The record is from RNAcentral. Lineage: Eukaryota; Fungi; Ascomycota; Eurotiomycetes; Eurotiales; Aspergillaceae.